Molecule: long non-coding RNA, 1900 nt
Organism: Arachis stenosperma
Lineage: Eukaryota; Viridiplantae; Streptophyta; Magnoliopsida; Fabales; Fabaceae
Exons: 3
Source: RefSeq, a predicted model, not a curated record
UUCACAAAUAAAGCAGAAUAUCGGUUGAGAAGAAUUUGUAAAAAGUUUGGAAUUUUUUAUUACAAGAAAGCACCAACGGCGCGUCAUGGUGGAGGAGAUCCGCUCGGUGUCAUCGCUGCGUCGUCUUUCCCGGCAAGUUGGACGUGGACUCAGUGCCGCUAGCUGAGGAGAUCUGAGGGAAGAGCAAAACAGAGAGAUUCAAACAGGAGAGAGAGCUCGCCUCGCCGUCGUCAUUGCCGUCGCCAUCGCAGUUCAUCGCCUCUCCAGAUUUGGUCGCAACGCCCAAGCCUCUGAGGAUGUUCCGACGAGAUGAAGAACAAGCUCGAUUACAUCCUCUCUCUCUCUCUCUCUCAGUGUUGAGAACUUCUUCGAGCGUCGCCUCCAUAUUCUCGUCUUCAAGUCCGGCAUGGCCAAGUUCAUCCAUCAGUGCAUAUUAGCUUAGUUCAAACGAUUGUAGAUGAAGGAUGAUUUCAAGAAGUGAUACAAAUUUUACUGUGAGCAGUUUUUUCACAGGCCACAGAGGAGGUUCAUUGAGCUGGAGGCUCUGGAGAAAAUCAUACAGGAAAGAAUAGGUUUGUUACUUGCUUUGGACAUCUAAAUUAAAGCAAUAUAGUUGUACUAAAUAUACUGAAUUAGACAUGCUUUGGACAUCUCACAUGUUUACUCAGAUUGAGAAUUGCUAGUGAAAAUGAAAUCAGUAAACCUUGUCCCCAACCUGAUUUAUUCAGAUUAGAGCAUUCAUUCAAAUCUUGUGUGCUGUAUUUUGAUUCUUUCUUCCAUAUUCAAUAACCUCUCUGAUUUGAACUUGGUAAUUGUGAAAAAGGGUGACAAUGAUUUAUUAGCCAUUUCUCCAUUGAUACUUGCUUUUCUAAAUUCACCUAAAAUGUGAGGCAAUCAGGAUUGUACAAGACUGCUAUCACCUUGCAAUUGGGAUGUUUAUUCAGAAGGUUCUUUGUCAAGUAUGUUUUCUGGAUUAAGUGUGCUAACCAUAAGAACAGCUUCAUUUGAGCUUUGGCACUAUCUAAUAUGUCAUAGUAGUUCAUGGUGUUGUGCACAUUGGAAGAGACUCCCUUUUGACAUCUUCUAGUCUUUGGCUCUUUGCAGUGCAGCUUCAACACCAUGCUCGGUAUCGCCUUCCGACAUUUCAGUUGAUCUUUGUACAUGUAAUUGAAUCACUGGUUUUUGUUCCUGUAAGCACUCAUUUUAACUGAUAAACAAUAUUUGUCUGAAUACUCAGUUGUGCAAUUUCAUUUUAGUCUUAGCCAUGCUGAUAGUUUUCUUUUGUUUUUCUUGGGUUAUUUCUUCAUAUUAUGAUUGUUAUUCUGUUCUUUCUCUUUGAGUUUUAUGACGACCAGCUGCUUGCCUUCAUGGUCUUGAUUCUUGUCUGGUUGUGCGAACUCUUUACUCUCAUUAGUGUCCGAACGCCAAUUUCAAUGAAGUUCUUCCCUUGCUUCUUUUUGUUGUAUUUUCUGGUCUUUCACAUAUAUUUCUUCUCUUAUUCAUAUGGUAAUGUUCGUAAUGUUUUAUUUUUCUCAGUGUAAUUUAAUUAAUAUUAUCUGAAAAUAAAUUUUUUUAAAUUCCAGAUUUUUCAUAUUUGGCUCUUAUCUACUAUAGCAGUUCUUAUGCAACAUCUUAUCUUGUACUUUUAGAAUCGUUUUGAGGUAAGAAAUGAUAAAGGUUGGAAAGAGCUACAAUCUGAAAAGAGGUCUUUCCUUACCGUGUGACUCAAUAUGCAACAAUAGGAAAGAAAGAAGAAGGGAUGAGAUUGUGGAAUAUUUAUAAGAUGGAUGGGAAGUUACUUAAAAGAGACUAUUAUUCAGCUGUAAUAAGUUCAUUUCUCAAGUUGUAUCCUAAAAACGCAUUCACUUGAAGCAAGAAAUUGUAGUUUUUGCGCACUUAA